Molecule: ribosomal RNA, 398 nt
Filed under: uncultured bacterium
Lineage: Bacteria
Description: partial 16S ribosomal RNA
Rfam family: Bacterial small subunit ribosomal RNA
Source: RNAcentral
AUACGUAGGGUGCGAGCGUUGUCCGGAAUUACUGGGCGUAAAGAGCUCGUAGGUGGUUUGUCGCGUCGUCUGUGAAAUUCCGGGGCUUAACUCCGGGCGUGCAGGCGAUACGGGCAUAACUUGAGUACUGUAGGGGAGACUGGAAUUCCGGGUGUAGCGGUGAAAUGCGCAGAUAUCAGGAGGAACACCGGUGGCGAAGGCGGGUCUCUGGGCAGUAACUGACGCUGAGGAGCGAAAGCAUGGGUAGCGAACAGGAUUAGAUACCCUGGUAGUCCAUGCCGUAAACGGUGGGCGCUAGGUGUAGGGGUCUUCCACGACUUCUGUGCCGUAGCUAACGCAUUAAGCGCCCCGCCUGGGGAGUACGGCCGCAAGGCUAAAACUCAAAGGAAUUGACGGGG